GACGAACGCUGGCGGCGUGCUUAACACAUGCGAGUCGAACGGAAAGGCCCUGCUUUUGUGGGGUGCUCGAGUGGUGAACGGGUGAGUAACACGUGAGUAACCUGCCCUUGACUUUGGGAUAACUUCAGGAAACUGGGGCUAAUACCGGAUAGGAGCUCCUGCUGCAUGGUGGGGGUUGGAAAGUUUCGGCGGUUGGGGAUGGACUCGCGGCUUAUCAGCUUGUUGGUGGGGUAGUGGCUUACCAAGGCUUUGACGGGUAGCCGGCCUGAGAGGGUGACCGGCCACAUUGGGACUGAGAUACGGCCCAGACUCCUACGGGAGGCAGCAGUGGGGAAUAUUGCACAAUGGGCGGAAGCCUGAUGCAGCAACGCCGCGUGCGGGAUGACGGCCUUCGGGUUGUAAACCGCUUUCGCCUGUGACGAAGCGUGAGUGACGGUAAUGGGUAAAGAGGCACCGGCUAACUACGUG
This 468-nucleotide ribosomal RNA is filed under the name uncultured bacterium. RNAcentral's name for it is "partial 16S ribosomal RNA". It matches the Rfam family "Bacterial small subunit ribosomal RNA", at positions 28 to 507 of the family's 1533-position model. The record is from RNAcentral.